CAAACAUGGCCAAUCUCUGCUUCAUGUACACGACUGCCAACUUCUUUAACUUCACCCAAAGAAUGAUUUGGAGCCUGUCAUCAGAGGAGAACAGAGUGGUAGAGCCAAUAGUGGGGACACUGAUGGAAUUAAUAAUUUGGAGACUAUGUAGCCAAUGACAUAUUUCACCCAGACAUGGAGAUCACCAUUGAAACCAGAGAAAUGCAACACUAUGGACAGAAAGAAACAGUCAAGAAUGUUAAGAAAUGCAUCUUCUUUCUGACCUGUGAGAACUGCAAUGACAUGUAUUAAAGUUUAAUCAGAAAUUUCUCUAACCUGCUAUCUUCCAAACUGCAAACCAUGACACGUAUCAUUCACCUUUUAAACAGUAAGAAAUCCACAUUUUGUAAAAAAAAAUGCACCUGUAUGUAACGUAUUUUAAACCAAAAUCUAUUAAAAUUGCCUUCA
This 447-nucleotide long non-coding RNA is filed under the name Homo sapiens (human). RNAcentral describes it as "HSALNT0333251". Lineage: Eukaryota; Metazoa; Chordata; Mammalia; Primates; Hominidae. The record is from RNAcentral.